UGGGGAAUUUUGCGCAAUGGGCGAAAGCCUGACGCAGCAACGCCGCGUGAGUGAUGAAGGCCUUCGGGUCGUAAAGCUCUGUCAGAGGGAAAGAACUGUCUUGUGGCUAAUAUCCAUGAUGUUUGACGGUACCCUCAAAG
Molecule: ribosomal RNA, 140 nt
Filed under: uncultured Geobacter sp.
Lineage: Bacteria; Pseudomonadati; Thermodesulfobacteriota; Desulfuromonadia; Geobacterales; Geobacteraceae
Description: partial 16S ribosomal RNA
Rfam family: Bacterial small subunit ribosomal RNA
Source: RNAcentral